UGGGGAAUUUUGGACAAUGGGCGAAAGCCUGAUCCAGCAAUGCCGCGUGUGUGAAGAAGGCCUUCGGGUUGUAAAGCACUUUUGUCCGGAAAGAAAUCCUUGGCUCUAAUACAGUCGGGGGAUGACGGUACCGGAAGAAUAAGCACCGGCUAACUACGUGCCAGCAGCCGCGGUAAUACGUAGGGUGCAAGCGUUAAUCGGAAUUACUGGGCGUAAAGCGUGCGCAGGCGGUUUGCUAAGACCGAUGUGAAAUCCCCGGGCUCAACCUGGGAACUGCAUUGGUGACUGGCAGGCUAGAGUAUGGCAGAGGGGGUAGAAUUCCACGUGUAGCAGUGAAAUGCGUAGAGAUGUGGAGGAAUACCGAUGGCGAAGGCAGCCCCCUGGGCCAAUACUGACGCUCAUGCACGAAAGCGUGGGGAGCAAACAGGAUUAGAUACCCUGGUAGUCCACGCCCUAAAACGAUGUCAACUAGUUGUUGGGGAUUCAUUUCCUUAGUAACGUAGCUAACGCGUGAAGUUGACCGCCUGGGGAGUACGGUCGCAAAGAUUAAAACUUAAAUGAAUUGACGGGGUCAUAGCUGUUUCCU
RNAcentral lists this ribosomal RNA (586 nucleotides) under uncultured bacterium. Its description in RNAcentral is "partial 16S ribosomal RNA". It matches the Rfam family "Bacterial small subunit ribosomal RNA", at positions 355 to 1375 of the family's 1533-position model. The record is from RNAcentral.